Long non-coding RNA from Apodemus sylvaticus (European woodmouse), 691 nucleotides. RefSeq lists it as uncharacterized. The record is from RefSeq and is a predicted model, not a curated record. The transcript has 2 exons. Lineage: Eukaryota; Metazoa; Chordata; Mammalia; Rodentia; Muridae.
CCCUUUUAGAGAUGAGGACACGGAUGCUUAGACCGGAUGGUUGGCUCAGCAAAGCAGUUCUCGGGUUUAGACCCAGCUCUACAAGUCUGUCUCCACAGCUUGGGCAAGACUAGAGGGACCCGAGAAUAGCAGGAGCAAGGCGAAAAGAAAUCCUUGAGAUUCCAAAGAUUGGAUCACAAGGUCAAAGAGGACCAAGGGCCUGUGGAAUGGCAGUGUUUGUGUUGCUGUCUCUUCUGACCCUCAAUUCCCUGCAGUACAGAGAGGAAAGUAACAACUGGUGGUGGGCUCCAAAUGAAGAACUCAGCGGAAGGAAGUUGAUGCAGAAGGAUGCUGACAGGAGGCUGUACAUGCCAGCACAGAUGUCUUGUCACUGCGCUAUCACCUGCCCCUGGAAAGAGAACAAAACCAGGUCCGACAUGAUGCCAGGGUCUGGGCUGUUCUUCACUAACUUACACAUAUAUGUGUGUAAAUAUAUGCUUGCAUUCUUAUAAUCAUAUACAUAAAUGUGUAUAUGUGUACUUACAAGUCAUCCCACUGUGCAUGUGUAUAUAUACUCAUGAAAACAUACAGAAUCACAUUGUCAUGUAUAUAAACCUAUAUAUAUCCUCAUUUGUACCCACAUGUAUAUACAUGUAUACAUUGUAACCACUAUAAAUAUCACACACAAAAACAUGCCAUUUCACUUUUUAAA